GAUGAACGCUGGCGGCGUGCCUAAUACAUGCAAGUCGAGCGAACAGACGAGGAGCUUGCUUCUCUGACGUUAGCGGCGGACGGGUGAGUAACACGUGGAUAACCUACCUAUAAGACUGGGAUAACUUCGGGAAACCGGAGCUAAUACCGGAUAAUAUUUUGAACCGCAUGGUUCAAUAGUGAAAGACGGUUUUGCUGUCACUUAUAGAUGGAUCCGCGCCGCAUUAGCUAGUUGGUAAGGUAACGGCUUACCAAGGCAACGAUGCGUAGCCGACCUGAGAGGGUGAUCGGCCACACUGGAACUGAGACACGGUCCAGACUCCUACGGGAGGCAGCAGUAGGGAAUCUUCCGCAAUGGGCGAAAGCCUGACGGAGCAACGCCGCGUGAGUGAUGAAGGUCUUCGGAUCGUAAAACUCUGUUAUUAGGGAAGAACAAAUGUGUAAGUAACUAUGCACAUCUUGACGGUACCUAAUCAGAAAGCCACGGCUAACUACGUG
Molecule: ribosomal RNA, 497 nt
Filed under: uncultured bacterium
Lineage: Bacteria
Description: partial 16S ribosomal RNA
Rfam family: Bacterial small subunit ribosomal RNA
Source: RNAcentral